ACUCUGAUCAAUCUGUGGUCAACAUAUUUAUUAUCCUGAUGACGCGGGAUGGCAGGGCGGGGCUGUCACUGAGCAUGCGCAGUACGCACUGAUUCUCAGCAUCUCCUCUUCAUGACAAAGGGUCCUCCGAGACGCGCCGCGCGUGAUCCGCGUCCUCUGCUCAUGUGCAGCCGAACAGACACGCACGCACGCACGCGCACACACAGAGACAGACAGGCCGCCGGUGUGUCGGUGAUGCGCGCGGCGGGCAGCAGCAUCAGCAGCUCGCGGUGGUUGUAGCAUCGUUACCGAGAGGCGGAGCGCGAGCAGCCGCAGCGGAGGAGCGCGAGGAGGAGACCGGAGCCAUGAGCUGCAACUGGGGCACCGAGCUGUGGGAUCAGUUUGAUAAUUUGGAGAAACACACCAGUUGGGGAAUCGACUUCCUGGAGAGAUAUACCAAGUUUGUUAAAGAGAGAGCCGAUAUCGAGCUGAGCUAUGCUAAACAGAUCAGGAGUCUGUCUAAGAAGUAUCAUCCGAAGAGAAGCAGAGAGGACGACAGCAGGUACACCUGGUGUCUGGCGUUUGCAGCGACACUCCGCCAGCUGAGCGAACUCGCUGUGCAGAGAGAAGAACUCGCUGAAAACCUGAACACACAGAUCGUCUCCGAGCUGACCAGAUACACACAAGAACUGAAAACUGAGAGGAAAACUCAUUUCCAAGAUGGCCGCCGUGCCCAGCAGCACAUUGAGAGUUCCUGGAAGCAGCUGGAGUCUAGUAAACGUCGGUUUGAGCGUGACUGUAAGGAGGCGGAGCGAGCUCAACACGUCUCCGAUAGAAUUGACCUCGACACCAAGACGGAUGCAGAGAAGCGCUGCUCAUUGAAGGCUCGUCAGACGGCUCAACAGAAACAACAAUCUGCUGAUGAGUCCAAGAAAGAAUAUGUGACCAGUUUAAACCAGUUUAACCAGGACCAGCACCAGCAUUACCACACACUGGUCCCAGUUAUAUACCAGCGUAUCCAGGACAUGGAGGAGCGGCGGAUCGAAAGAAUCGGUGAAGCGAUGCGUUCGUCGGCCGAGGCAGAGAGGAAGUUUCUUCCCGUGGUCGGUCACUGCUUGGACGCCAUGAUGGACGCUGCUGAGAGCAUCCAGCCCAGGAUGGACACCCGCCAGGUGGUGGAGGUGUAUAAAUCCGGCUUCGACCCUCCAGGUGAUGUAGAGUUUGAAGACUACAGCACCACCAUGAGGCGGAGCAUCUCUGAAUCCAGUUACCUUGACAACCGAACUGAGGGGCGGAGACACAGCCGGAAGUUGUGGCCGUUCAUACGCAAGAACAAGUUGUUGACCCUCCUGUCCUCUCCCCGGCAGCCCCCUCCUCCCCCUCCCACCUCACCUUCACCUGGGGGCGUGGCCAACAGUUCCCAGUCCCCACCCCCGCCUUCUAGAGAACCAAUCACACAGCGACUGAAUGAACUUAUGACCUCUGGUUCCAGAACCAGGAAGCAGUGUCUCCGCAGCCUCAAGAGAGGGCUGUCACUCAAACUGGGCUCAGGUCCUGCAGACUGCAGCCAUCUUCCUCCAGAACAACGACGCAAGAAACUUCAAACCAGAAUCAACAACAUCAACCAGGAGAUCCAGAGAGAGAGAGAGCAGAGAGACACGCUGCUAAAGAUGAGAGAGGUGUACGAGCGAAGUCCUCAGAUGGGCGACGCCAGCAGUCUGGAGCCUCGACUGGACGAAGUGAAGCAGAGUCUGCAGAGACUGGAGGACGAGCUGCGGAGGAACCAGGCGUGGCUGGCGGAGGCCGACAGCAGACUGUCUGAUCACGGCAGCAGGAGGCCCAGUGGAGGUUGUGGGUUAAAUUCUCAGGCGACGACGCCAGGCAGCAGCAGCCUGAAACAGCUGGACAACCGCAGCCCAGCCAGCAGAGAGAGUCCUGACGGCAGCUACACUGAGGAUCACAGCGCAGAGCUUCACUUUAAGUCUCGUAGUUCAGAGUUUGAUAACGACUUUGACGAUGAAGAGCCGUUACCGAGUAUCGGUACCUGCAAGUCCCUUUAUCCUUUUGAAGGUCAGAAUGAAGGAACUCUGUCCAUGGUGGAGGGAGAACUACUUUCUGUGGUGGAAGAAGACAAAGGUGAUGGCUGGACCAGAGUACGGAGGAACCUGGAGGAGGAGGGAUACGUCCCAACAUCCUACAUCAAAGUCUUCCUCGACAACAGCGCCAAAGGCUUUGUGCAGAGUAGUCGGCUAGUCUAGCACAGUAGUCGGCCCAGUGAGGACGUCUCGCCACAGGAAGGGAUGUGUAAAGGAAAGAGCUCAGAGGAAGCCUGUGUUUGGAGACAAACUGACCUGAGAUCAGUUAACAGCUGUUUAAUAUUAUGAUGCAUCGUAAAAAAUUAAAAGGUAAACUUUUAAAAUUAAUGUAUGUAAAAAAUGUAAGUGUGUGGUCCUUGCUGUUGGCCAAUGAGAGAUGAAGAUCAAAUGAACACAUCUCGCCUCACUGCGGUGACAUCACAGUGUACCGGAGUACAGUGUGACAUCACUGCUGUUACUGUGAACAAUGAAAAGUUUAAACAGUCCACGUGGAAGUGAAGCGUCGACUGUGUGUGUAAAUAUCAACUGUAGCUGCACAGGUGUAGCCCCGCCCCCGAACACCUGCUGACAUUAGCCCCGCCCUUGUUUAUCAAUGAUCAUGUUAUUGAUUGAUUGUGUGAAAUGUGAAACUCAUUCUUUUUUAUUUUGUAGUAAAAUAAUUGAUUUUUUUAUUGAGACGUGAGACUGCUGAUCACGCUCUUUUCAACUUCCUGUAUGUUUAAACUUUCAAAA
RNA transcript from Thunnus maccoyii (southern bluefin tuna), 2807 nucleotides. It is a transcript of the gene named formin binding protein 1a, with no coding region annotated. The transcript has 19 exons. Lineage: Eukaryota; Metazoa; Chordata; Actinopteri; Scombriformes; Scombridae. The record is from RefSeq and is a predicted model, not a curated record.